UCUUUGAAGGGGUGAAAGCAAAGAAACAUCCACCUCUCCAGAGGAGAAGGUAGAUCCGGUGAAAGCGAAGCGCACUCUGGAUGCCCUGAAAAACCACCCAAGUCUCCGCCGAAAGGCAACUAUGAGCGCAUUAUUGGAAAGGCAUUUGCCGAAGCGGAGCGGUCGGGAAGUACUGUCAGUGAUCAAAGGCUGAAAGAACGACGAGCUGGGAAACAAAUUGCCCAGCUCGACGAACAAGCGAAGCAAUCGUGCCCCCCGCUCAAGGUGCCUAGCGACAUCGUCGCUAAUGAUCCGAGGAUGGUGCCCGGUUAUAGCAAUCUUGGAGAUUACCUGCCCGACGAUGUACAUUAUGAUUUCAUGGAGGUGCAGAUACAAAGAUACGAGUACGGGAAGCCUCUCGUCAAAGAUGAAAGAUCUCUAUCAACGAUGAUGCGAAGAUUGCAUGAUUGGUACUUGAAAAUCUGCAGAGAGUCUGGGGGGAGGAGUACUUUGUAUGUGAGAGUUAAAAAGGAGCAUGACCUCAUUGGAAUUGAACUGUUGCCUGUUCCAUUUGAGGAGUUCUUUCAGUUUUUCAAUCAAUUAGCCCUUGAUAAAGCAACGGUCACCUGCUACUGUCUGUAAGUAGUACUACUUCUGUCAUUAAGUCUCUCUAUAUAGCUCAGCUCUUUCAUUGCAUGUAUUUAUAAUUAUCCUCACUAUAUUAUGCAGAUUGAAGAUCGUCGAAUUGAAGAAAAGACAAAUCGGUGAUAUUGGGUUCAUUAACACAAAUCUCAUAGAUGCAACUCAGGUUAAAUUUCAUGCCGCAGAUACCGAGGCCAACUUGCUACGAUCGUUGGUAAUAAAUGGAAACAAAAAUAUAAUACUCUUUUCUUACAAUUUCAAGUGAGUGUUACUGUCUUGUGCAUAUUCGGUUUCCCUUAUAUAUUAGUCAAGGUUAUAGUAAUGUAAUUGAUGAGUUAUGCAUGCGUGUGUAGUUUCCACUAUAUUCUCCUAGAGAUUAAGCUUGAGUAGGGACUAGUAACCGUCUUAGACUCGAGACGAAAAGAUCCCCAGGACUAUGCGGACAUGACUCAAAUGCUUGAGAAGUAAGUUAAAUCGAUCAUUAUCCACCAUAUCAGCAACUUUGUUCAUUUCCUGAUAUAUCAAGUAAUUGUUUUUUUUGUCUGGCAGGGUUUAGAGAAAAUUCACCAAAAAAGCUCCGGGACUGCCGAAGAAGCUGCAAUUUAGACACCCGAAAGUAAGUACUAUAGUAGCAUGUUCCGCGCAUCUCCUAGUGAUUCAAGCGCUAGUUUCAUCAAUACCAUUUGGCAUUCUUGCUUAUCAGUUUGAUUGACCUCUAUUUCUUGUAAAGUGGUUGUGGCAGGAACAAGGGAAUGAUUUCUGUGGAUACUACGUUUGCGAGUCCAUCCGCCACACGACCUAUGAGCGGGGCUACUCUGACGAACAAUAUGAAGUGCGUAAAUAACAACAUUCAUAAUUUUUUUUAUUACCAUCAUUUGUGUUGAGUUUCAUUCAUUCAUAUAUAUAUGUAUUGACCUCCUUUUUCAAAUUAGAUGUUUCGGAAGCGGGAUGAACUCCUAGCACCAGCUCGCAUGCGAGCAAUUCAAGAGGAAUUGGCGGCAUUCUUUCUUGACCACGUGAUCGCUGAAGACGGAGAAUACUAUGUGGACCAUGCAUCCGUAUGUUAGGAGAUUAUAUUUGUAAGAGAUAAUUAUUGUAUAUAUGUAGCCGGUAGUGUCGGAUAGAUAUACGAGAACUUGUUGUUCGACCAAUCUCUCAGAGAAGGAGAGGUGGUCGAUAUCACUUCUCUCUGUAUGCAUAUAUGUUCAUGAUGAUCUUCUGUUUCCUUCGUUUGCUUACUAGCUAGCUAGCGUGUCUAGGCCUCUCUGUACGUAUGAAUAGUAGGUACCGUCGAUCAAGCACGGACAUAAGAGAGGACACUUCUCUCUAUUAAUUAUAGCUAGCUAACACAAUAUAUGAAACACCUAAAUUAACCCCCCAAAACNNNNNNNNNNNNNNNNNNNNNNNNNNNNNNNNNNNNNNNNNNNNNNNNNNNNNNNNNNNNNNNNNNNNNNNNNNNNNNNNNNNNNNNNNNNNNNNNNNNNNNNNNNNNNNNNNNNNNNNNNNNNNNNNNNNNNNNNNNNNNNNNNNNNNNNNNNNNNNNNNNNNNNNNNNNNNNNNNNNNNNNNNNNNNNNNNNNNNNNNNNNNNNNNNNNNNNNNNNNNNNNNNNNNNNNNNNNNNNNNNNNNNNNNNNNNNNNNNNNNNNNNNNNNNNNNNNNNNNNNNNNNNNNNNNNNNNNNNNNNNNNNNNNNNNNNNNNNNNNNNNNNNNNNNNNNNNNNNNNNNNNNNNNNNNNNNNNNNNNNNNNNNNNNNNNNNNNNNNNNNNNNNNNNNNNNNNNNNNNNNNNNNNNNNNNNNAAAAACAAAAACCCCAGCCACAGAAAUGCUGACGCGUGGAUGCCUAUUGGUCCCGAUUGGUGCCACCAACCGGGACCAAAGGCCCUCCUGCCUGGGCUCCGCGUACAGGCCACGUGGAGGCCCAUCAGUCCCGGUUCUGGAUUGAACCGGGACUAAAGAGACAGGGCAUUAGUACCGACCCUUUAGUCCUGGUUCAGGAAUCGGGACAAAAGGCCCUUACGAACCGGGACAAUAGGCUCGUUUUCUACUAGUGGUAGUUUAUUUUGUGUUUAGAUGAUCAAAAGACUUUGGUUGCUGUGGCUAGAUCCUUAGAUCUCGUCUGGUCUGUAAUGAGCAAUGCUACACAGCCGAUGAUUUUGCGGACGAUGCAUGGACGACAUAGGGUAAUAAUUGUUGGAUUGAAUCCCUCCAUACCUAAGCAAUGUCAGAUCCUACCAUCGUCCACCUGUCGUGCAUAAAAAGUCGUGUGUGCAGCUAUUCCGGUCUGUAAUAAAGUAGACGUAUUUAGCUUUGUGCUUUUGCCAGUUUGCCUUAGGGGGACAGUUCGUAGUGCUUUGGUCGUUCUUUACUAUUUGUAGAUGUUGAUGGUGUCUUGAACUUCUAGUUGUGUAAUCGUUUGAACCUGAUGCUAGUUUCUUUAAUGGAAAUCGGAAGGGACGGGCCCUUCUUUUAUCAAAAAAACUAAUAAAAGAAAAGAUUCACCUGUUUCUUCCUUUUAUUUGGCAAUGAGCUGCUCGUAUGUCAUUUGACCACCAAAAUUUGGACGCUCCUACCGCAUCUGAGCAUCUUGAAUUCCUAAAGCUAUUAGAUUUUUUUGAAAAAAAAUGCUGUUUUUUCACAUUUAUUGUUCACUACGAGCAUACGAGUCUUCAUCCUAAAGGAUAUGACCUCAGGUGCGGAUUACGGAUUACUCAACUAGAGGUCAGUUUUUCCUCAUGACGAUGUAUUAAUUCUAUAUAUCAUUCUGAUGACCAACCUAAUUAAACUACUCUCUGUUAGUUCAUAGUCAUAGUUUGAGGUCUCAUUUGGUUCGUAUGAUAGAAAUAUUAUAGGAACUGAAAAUAAUGAGAUGACAUAUAUAUCUCAAUUUUUAUAGGAAAAGAGAUGUCAUUUGACGCAUACGAUAGAAAAAAUUCAUUGAGUCUAGGUUAAUGUUUUUUCCUUUAAAAUAUGAAGAAAAAUAGUUCUAUCCUAUAUAGGAACAGAAAUCCAUUCCUACAAACCAAAAGAACACAAACGAUUUCUUCCCUAACAAAAUUGCUAUCCUUUAGAACCCUAUAUACCUAAGAGAGAGUUGCCCACUAACUUAUUUAUCUCAACAUGUAAGCAAUGCCACCUCAUCAUAUAAUUAUAAGUAGGAUAAGGCCCACCUCAACAUGCAAUCAUGCAUAGAGAAAGACUCAUCACACCAUUCAACCAUGCAUGAAAAAAUAUUUUCUAUUCAAUUAUUCUACUUAUAUUCAAUAAAUAUUUUUACAAAUAUACAUAAUCAAACAUAAUAAGUUAUGUGUAUUUUAAAUUAUGAUUCCCAAGUUAGCAACCUAACUUUUCAUCAACCAAGACAAUAUGUUUUUGUAAUUGUGCUUUCCUAGAAGAAGAAAAAAGGCACGGUAUGUGCUUUCCGAAAAAAGAAAAGCACAGUUGUGUUUCCCGAAAAAAAUACAGAUUACUAGUAGUUCACAUGAUUGGAAUAUGGCUCCCGUAUGCAUGCUAUUCUGGGACUGAGGAAUGCCUUUCUAUGGUGGACCCUGAGGUCGGACUCUUGCUGCUUGAUUUUCGAUCGAACGGGAUUUGGGCACGGUUCAAAAUACAGAACGCUCUAGAGAACAUGCGAUCAUUUGGGCACGGUUAAGAGAAAUUUUACCAAAUCCUAGUCAACAUCAGCCACAGCCGCGCCCCCGCCGUGGUGAUGGACACGCGAGCAUUUCGUGUCCUGCCAACCUCAUGCCCUCCUAAAUCCACGCUAACCAUUACCAGACCCCCAGCCCGCAGCACAAAUACACGGACGAGCAUGGGCAGAGCAGAGCAGAGCCAAGCACGCGAGCUCUCACCAGCACGGCACGACCGGCGCUCCGUCCUCCCUGGCCAUGGCUCGCGCGCACGGCGCAUUCCUGCUGCAGCUGCUGGCCGCGGGCCUGCAGGUCGUCGCGCUCGCGGCGACCAUCACAGUCACACAGACGGACGACCCGCGGUGCCGGCCGAGCCUGCCGCGGCGGGGCGCCAUCGCGGUGUACCCGAGCGACAUGGAGCAGCUGCAGUUCCUGCUCAACCCCAAGUUCGUGGAGGCGGAGUGGUUCCUCCACGCCGCGCUGGGCCGCGGCAUCGACUACCUCGACCGCAACCUCUCGGCGGGCGGCCCGGCCCCCGUCGGCCCGCGCAAGGCCAGCCUCGACUUCCGCACCACCGAGAUCGCCGCGGAGCUCGGGUACCAGGAGGUGGGCCACAUCAGGGCCAUCACGCAGGCCAACGGCGGGUUCCCGCGCCCGCCCAUCGACCUCAGCGCCGACCGCUUCGCCGCCAUCAUGGACGACGCCCUGGGCGCGCGCCUCGACCCGCCCUUCGACGCCUACAACGGCACCGUCAACUUCCUCCUCGCCUCCUACAUCCUGCCCCACGUCACCGCCGCCGCCGCCGUCGGCAUCAGCCCCAACCUCAUGGGCUACGCCUCCAAGCGCCUCCACGCCAGCGUCCUGGCGGUGGAGGCCGGGCAGGACGCGGUGAUCAGGAUGCUGCUGUACCAGCGCGCCGACGAGACGGUGGCGCCCUACAAGGGGCGCACGGUGGCCGAGUUCACGCGCCGGAUCUCCGACUGGCGCAACGAGCUGUCCGGCUGCGGCGCCAAGGACGAGGGGGUCAAGGUGCUGGACCGGCAUCAGGGCGCGGAGCGACGCACCAUCAGCAACAUCCUCGGCGCCGGCGUGGACUCGCUCGGGUACCAGCGCACCCCGGCGGAGGCGCUGCGCAUCCUCUACGGCUCGCGCAACGAGCAGGUCCCCGGCGGGUUCCUGCCCCGGGGCGCCAACGGCACCAUCGCCAGAGGAUUUGUCCAGCUCGCAUAGAUGUCGCUGCAGCUCGAGGACUCAGCCGGUGCUUCCAUUCCACCUCUUUCGUGCUACCCAUGGACUGAAACAGGCACAAUAAAAACAUUGCGAUCUAUAUUUUGAAAAGAAAAUUUGUCUCGAGACCAAAUUCAGUUUACAGCUCGAGAAACAAAAUGCCAGGUGUGAGUCGGAACUUUAUACAAAACUGAAAUGGGAUUUUGCACAGAGAUUCAUAGGGAUUUUUAUUUAUUUAUUUUGGUUAAUCAAAUAGUGUGGGAAUAGAUGAGACUUCGUUAAUUCUCAUCUAGAUGAGAAUGAGCAAAUCUGAAUUAAAAUCUGUUACGAAUAGUACGUCGUUAGCACUACUCAUACUCUUUUUUUUUUUGAAACGAGACAAAAGAUUUGCCAUUUUUAUUGAUUAAGAAGAAGAGAAUUGCCCGGUUAAUUGACGGAAAACCGGGCUAAAAUCGAUACAGCACAACCCACAUGACAUGGGCACCACCGGCCAACCUGGCCACCGACAUGAAACAGAAGCCACGCCGGCACAUGCCAACAGAUGGCCACACGCGCAAGCAACCGACAGCUCCGACUUUGACGACGAGCAACACAGGGGAAAUAUGCAGGACUUGCGCCGACCGUGCCCAAAAGAGCACCUCGAACACCAAGACCACGCCGCGACCCAAGCUCCUCUCGACGCCAUCAUCGUUGCCAAACAGACACCAGCGCCCCGCCUCAGCAAACCACGCGGUGAAGAUGCCGCCAUCGACGGCAAAGAUGCCAUCAUCCUCCAGUCUCUCAGUCGUAGCCGGCUCCGAGACGAUGCCUCCAAGGAGAAGAAAGACACGAAGACUCCUCCAUCGCCCGAUCCAACGAAUCUGAGGUUUCCCUCCGGAGCCCAAGCUGUGGGGAGAAGGAGCAACUCCACGGCGACGCUUCCAAGAAAGAUCACGGCACCCGCGGGCGCCGCCGUCGCCGGCUUCGGUGAAGACCGGAGCAAGGAUUUCUCCCGGCUACUCAUACUCUGAUUUGUCAUUGUUUGUUCCUUAUAUGCUGUGGAUCAAGUUUCAAAUGAAAUGUUGGGUCAUCUUAACUCUUAAGGACAUCUGGUAUCAAUAUCGUCAAACAAAUUCUGACUUUCUUCUGCAAGUUUCUUGUUUUAGUAUUAUUAUGCUUAGAUAGCAGCAAGCGCCAUAAGAUAGCUGCAGCCUGCGAGAGCAUCGUGUUGCCAUGGUCAGAGCCGAACAACUCCAGCCUGAUUGGUGUUUCAUUUUCAGUUCAUAUAAGAUCUCAUGAAGAACCACCACGCCAUCUAAACAGGUUGGGCUUACAACAUCAUCAGAUACCGAAGCGGAAAAUUGCACGGUUCCGUCUCGUACCGGCAGAUCUCCGGCCGUCCAUUGCGUUUUAAAGAUUAGUGUAGCACUGUGUAGUACUCUUCGUUUCUAAAUAUUUAUCUUUUUAGAGCAAAAUGAGUGAACUUACACUCUAAAAUAUGUCUAUAUACAUCUGUAUGUGGUGAUCAUUUGAAAUCUGUAGAAAGACAAAUAUUUAGGGACGAAGAGAGCAUAAAAAACAAAACAUUAUGUUCUCAUGAAUACAUAGUUAUACAACAUGCAAAAAGGAUACACAGGUCCCAUCAAAGUCAGCUUUUUAUCAGAUGACACUUGCAUGCAUGUACUAUACAUUCCCUCUUUCUCUCUCUCCUCAUGUUGGAUGUUUAUCUUAAGUCUUCCUCAUGACCAUCAAAGUCUUCUGUCAGAUGUACUUGCAUGCAUUUUAUCAUCGCCCUCCUCAUGAUCAGAUUUUUCAUGCUACGAGUUCACCAUCUUUCAAAUAAUUGAAUCAAAUAGCCGAGAAAAAAAAUUGUAUCGUGAUCAACCUUGCUCUGAAUACCACUUGAUGCGAUCGUCGACAGAAAAUCGAUGGUAUAAUUAAUUUGCCCAAUCUUUCAUGGUACGGUGUCACCUGAAACAGUGUGGCGCUCGCGAUCUUGUAGAUGCAAUCACCACCAAAACAACACGCACACCCAAAAGAGGAAGUACGUGGACGAUCUUCACCAGAUCAGCAGAAAUUGAAACUCUAGAAUCAAUCUCAAACCAAAAUCACAUAGCCUCAAAAGCUAUCAACAAAUAUUCUGCGGCGGCCUGAAGAUACCCCGACUUGCUAAUCUAUCCAUCGAUGCAAAAUAGCCAAAAGAAAACUACCCCUACACGGCCGGCCGGCCAGCCCUUUAUAUAGGUGAUAAAAACUGUACCGACUUAAACAAGGAAAGACACAUACGGACUCUCUCUCCCCUAUCGUAACAAAUCAAAUCUCAACUAAUUUAAGUAUCCGGCCAUGUUGAACACAAAAGUCGAAAACGGACUAGUACUUUGACAACCACGUGCAUGCUCCCUUGUGAAUCCUUAUAGUGUUGCUUCAAAAAUAGUUGGACGCAAUAUUUCUGAUCGUGCCUUGAUUGCAUGGUGUUCGAAAGGUAGGCUUCACUUCUUUCUUCGGAAUAAUAUGAAAUUUUAUCCUGCCAAUCUGUAGUACUUGUACCUUCGAAGCUAAACAUGGCAUGGUCGUAUUUUGUUUAUGCAUAGAACUGAAAGUAACCAUUUGAUUUCUUUUGUCACGGCGCUUAGCUGAUAUGACAUACUUCUCCAUUAACGAAACAUCAGUGUCCGUAGACAAUGUCGCAUCAUAGUGAGUCCAUGGCGAUGACAAACAGCACGGAGAAACUAGGUCACCUUGUCGUAACCGUUUAGCAUGGUGGAUGCACCUUCCCGGGGCGCCAUUAAAGAUGACCUUGGUGCUGGAAGUUUGAAGGAGAAUAGCAAUCCAUCUCAUCCACCCAGGUCCAAAGCCCUUGGAUCUCAUGAUCUCAAAUAAAAACAGCCAGGAAAAGGCAUCGAAUGCUUUAGUAAUGUCCAGUUUCAGAAAGACUCUCGGUUCCUUCUUGAUAUGUAUUUUCUGAGCCACCUGCCGGACCAACAGAAAAUUAUCAUGCAGAUUUCUACCCUUUAUAAAUGCGGACUGAUUAAUGUCUACAAUGUCUGGCAUUCGUUUCCUCACCUGCGAUGCUAGCAAAUUCACAAACAACUUGGAGAAGCUGUGUGGCAAACUUAUUGGGCGAAAAUCAAACACUUCGUGUGUGUCUACCUUCUUGGGGAUCAGAACUAUGUGUGCGCGGUUGAGUUUGUGGGAUCCCCUGCCAUCCCCAACGAACAGCUGAAGUAAGGCGGCCAUGAUGUCUCCUUUAAUGAUUGGCCACGCUUUGUGAUAAACGCACCAAUGAAUUCGUCGGGCCCUGGUGCUCUGUCCGCUGAAAUUUAUCUAAUGACUCUCCAUACUUCUUCCCUGAAGAUCUGAUCUAGGUCGCCCAGGUCAUGGGAUUGAAUGCCAAGGUACUCCAGGUUUAGGGUCUCGUUCCUUGCUGGCACAACUCCCAGCAAGUUUUUGAAUGUUGUGAAAACACCUCUUCCAUCCGUGUUUGAUCAGUAAUGAUCUCCACCCCUGAUGUGAUGCUGGAUAUGAAGUUUUUUGCCCUCCUGCUGUUCGCCAUUGCUUGGAAGAGUUUAGAGUUAGCAUCACCAUCCUUGAGCCACCUCAGCCUAGAUCUUUGCCUAUCAAUGAUACACUCCAAGCUAGCCAGCCCCGGCAGCGAUAACUUGAGCGUUCUCCUCAGCCGUAGUUCAAGGAGGUUAGGCUCCUGUUUUCUUGGGCCUUACCAAAACCGAAUAUCACCUAGUUAGCCACCUUCCUGAGCAGCUUGAUGUUUCAUGUCUGCCUCUGCCCCCAUGCCUACAGGUAACUCGGCAUGUUCCUGAACUGUGUAUCUAACCUUUUAAAAGGAUCGACGAUGGAAUCAUCGCAAGCCCAAGCUGCACUAAUGGCCUCCCCAAAGCCAUCGAGUUUCGUCCAGUAUAGCUCAAAACGGAAGUGGUGUGCUUCGUACUAUAGUUGAUGCUAGUCAAGAGGUGGAGUAGCGCAUGAUCCGAGGGACUAGUUGAAAAGGCGUGAAGAACAUACUUCGGGUGGGCCAGUUCCCAUUCCAACAAAACCAAGACACAGUCGAUCUUGGUUAGCCUAGGAGUUUCUCGCUCGUUAGACCACGUGAAUGUACGUCCAUGCAUGUACAAUUCUUUGAGCUCGUGGUCGUCAACAAAGUUCUGAAAUUUGGUGAUCACACUUCUGUUGAGAUUAGCAUUAUUCUUCUCUGAGGCCCGCAAGAUCAUGUUAAAGUCUCCUAAGACGACCCAAGGCCCUGGGCAGGCCAAUCCCCUAGCAUACAGCUCAGUGAGGAAUUAUGUUUUCAGUUCAUUCCCUUGUGGUUCGUAAACUACCGAGAUCCACCAUGAGCUGCCGUUCUUGAGGUGCACCUGGCCAGUAAUGAAGUAUGUCAUAACAUGUGAUCAAAGUUAGCCUUGAAAAACGUAUUUAGCCCUAUGUAUAUAAAUAGAGAAAGUACCAAAUUUUAAUAUGAAGAAAGAUUUUUUUCAGACACCCAAGAGCUUCGUGCGUCAUUGCAUUAUUAGAACGGAAAACAACGUACAAGAGGUGUUCCGCCGAUGGCGGCCAACACAACGGCUAUGGUGAGGGAUUGGUCGGUCCUACACCCUUAGUCAAUACAACGCCAAUAAGAACACCAUCGUUGUCCAAAAAGAAAAACGAACACACCCAGGUUAUCUUAAACUCAAAUGAUAAGUGUCACAUGUUAGGUGUGUAGCACUCCGGUCCUAUUGUUUUUCGAUAGCUAUUCCAGUCACGUAAGGAUGAUGAUUUUUAGUGAUAGACGGCAAGUUUUUUGUCAGAAAAAAAACUAAAACAUGAAAGUUGUCAUGCUUGGCAACUAAAGUUGCCAUCCUCGCGCCAGUAAACUUGCCAUCGAAAACUUUGGAAGUUGUUGUGUGCUCGUACCUAACGUGUGACACUUAUCAGGUUCCAUCUUAAAAUGCCGCACAACCCUUUUCCCGUCUUCGUCCAUAGAUCGCCCUCGAUCAUGAUCGCAGUGUUUGAGCUGAUGAAUCGUCCUUGACGAGGCUUGGAAGACUAUGUCGUUGCGCUCGAGCCAUAGCAUGAAGACGACGAAGCGCAAAUGUGACAAAGUCCCACUAAGGUUGCUUCGGUAGGUGUCGGCGUGGCAGACCACCAUUCCGCCAGCUCCCCGCCCUUUGGCAUCCGCCCAAGCAGCAUCGUCCCAGGGCCGAGGUCCAAACGGCAAGGAGUACGUGCAUCCUACCAUGAGGUGACCAGAAGUCUUCUGCUUCAUGCCACAGAGGGAACACAUCAUGUGAUUUGCAAGGCCAUGGCGAUGUCUUCUAUCGACGGUCCAUAGACGGAUGUGGAUCACGAGCCAGACUCCAUUUAGAGCAUCUCUAGCAGGUCCCACAAAAACGCCUCCAACAAAACUAGUUCGUGGUUACCCCUAAAACCGAUUUAGGGUACCGUGCGGCAUCUGGAAGAAAACAUUUUCUCCUCUCAAUGGCCCAAACAGCCGCCACCACUGGGACGCACACGGAUGAACGAACUCCAACUCAAACAAUGUCGUCAACCAAAAGAACUGAAGCUUCAAAAAUAAAGUGAAUUCUGCACAUUUAGUUGAAUUGUUGAACUAAAGAGUUAGUUCAAUCAAAUGAACUAAAGUUGAAUUCCGAACAUUUAGUUGAAUAUAAUUGAUCUAAAGAGGGUCCGCUCAGGGUUCCAGUAUUCCACACAGUUGACAAGCUGGGGCCAAAGGUUCCACAACAACUCCAACCAUGAAGUCAACCCCAAAAGAAGCAAAAUCAGAGGUUGCAAACAUCUUCCAACUUUAAACAGAGAGCAUUUUAUCAGAUAACAUUUAAGAUAACCGGAUGAGGUCUCGAAAUAGCACUUAAUAAGAUAAACAUCCACAUUACAUCUAGAGGCAACCACGAGUUCGCAAAUCAACAAACAUCAGGCAAAACUUAAAAACGAUGGUUCCAGGAACAUAGUUCUAUAUCCUUGCAGAUAACUGGCUAUAGCAAAACGACUCAACGCCUCAGAAUCAGGCCUUGGCAGCAGCCUGGGCAGCGGCAUCCCGCUUCCUCUGCUCCUCAAUGAUGGUGAGCUUGAUACCCUUGCCCUUGGGGAGGCUCACCCAUGGCUUG
This 11572-nucleotide long non-coding RNA is filed under the name Triticum aestivum (bread wheat). Its description in RNAcentral is "long non-coding RNA (TAES_LNC010897)". Lineage: Eukaryota; Viridiplantae; Streptophyta; Magnoliopsida; Poales; Poaceae. The record is from RNAcentral.